GUGUCAGCAGCCGUGGUAAUACGUAGGGUGCGAGCGUUAAUCGGAAUUACUGGGCGUAAGGCGUGCGCAGGCGGUUUUGUAAGACAGGCGUGAAAUCCCCGGGCUCAACCUGGGAACUGCGCUUGUGACUGCAAGGCUAGAGUACGGCAGAGGGGGGUGGAAUUCCACGUGUAGCAGUGAAAUGCGUAGAGAUGUGGAGGAACACCAAUGGCGAAGGCAGCCCCCUGGGUCGAUACUGACGCUCAUGCACGAAAGCGUGGGUAGCAAACAGGAUUAGAUACCCUGGUAGUCCACGCCCUAAACGAUGUCAACUAGGUGUUGGGAGGGUAACCUUUUAGUAACGAAGCUAACGCGUGAAGUUGACCGCCUGGGGAGUACGGUCGCAAGAUUAAAACUCAAAGGAAUUGACGG
Molecule: ribosomal RNA, 411 nt
Filed under: uncultured bacterium
Lineage: Bacteria
Description: bacterial SSU rRNA
Rfam family: Bacterial small subunit ribosomal RNA
Source: RNAcentral